UUUCCAGCCAUUAAGGGCCAGAGUCCUGCAACUUUCAGAUAUGUUCCUGGUCCAACACACAAAUGGCUGAAUUACCUCCUCAGCAUGCAGUCAAGUUUGGUCAGUCCUGCUAAUGACUUGAUGGUUUGACUCAGGUGUGUUGAAAUAGAGAUGCUUUUCAAAAGAAGGGAGCAACAGGUCCUUGAUGGAACCCCAGACAUUCUUCUCCUCCAGGUCAUUCUGAAGGAUCCCAAGGCGUUUCCAGGCAUUCUUUGUCCUUCCAGCAAGUUCUGAGUCUCCCCCCAGGGAGGCACCCUGCAAGCUUCUUGAUCAGAAGCCCAAGCCACUUCAACUUACGCUAAAUCCAGUCACCCUGCAGAGGAAGCUCAUUUCGGCCACUUGUAUUUCUGUCACGAUCCAUGUCUCCUGGUCAUAGGUGAGUAUCAAAAUGGAGACAAACCAUUAAAUGAAGAACGUUACUUUUUUUGGCUCGGCUCUUUCUUCAAGAGACAAGAGAAGCACUCGUAUUACUGCAAACAUUGCUCCAAUCUAUCUAUCAUUCUUCCAUUCAAUCCUACCAUUACUCACAAAUUAGAAACCAAGAUACCUAAUCUCCUCUAUUUGAGACAGAAACUGACCUCUUGCUCAUUGCGGGUAGCACAUCUUUUUUUGGUCAAGAACUAUGACCUCAGACUUAGACAAGCUGACUCCCAUCCCAGCCGCUUUAUACACUACAGCACAUACUGGAUGUAAUGGUCUGAGA
Long non-coding RNA from Gambusia affinis (western mosquitofish), 742 nucleotides. RefSeq lists it as uncharacterized. The record is from RefSeq and is a predicted model, not a curated record. The transcript is spliced from 3 exons. NCBI's taxonomy places the organism in Eukaryota, Metazoa, Chordata, Actinopteri, Cyprinodontiformes, Poeciliidae.